Molecule: ribosomal RNA, 1240 nt
Filed under: Oenococcus oeni
Lineage: Bacteria; Bacillati; Bacillota; Bacilli; Lactobacillales; Lactobacillaceae
Description: bacterial SSU rRNA
Rfam family: Bacterial small subunit ribosomal RNA
Source: RNAcentral
UGCUAAUACCGCGUAACAACAAAUCACACAUGUGAUCUGUUUGAAAGGUCCUUUUGGAUCGCUAGAGGAUGGUCUUGCGGCGUAUUAGCUUGUUGGUAGGGUAGAAGCCUACCAAGGCAAUGAUGCGUAGCCGAGUUGAGAGACUGGCCGGCCACAUUGGGACUGAGACACUGCCCAAACUCCUACGGGAGGCUGCAGUAGGGAAUUUUCCGCAAUGCACGAAAGUGUGACGGAGCGACGCCGCGUGUGUGAUGAAGGCUUUCGGGUCGUAAAGCACUGUUGUAAGGGAAGAAUAACUGAAUUCAGAGAAAGUUUUCAGCUUGACGGUACCUUACCAGAAAGGGAUGGCUAAAUACGUGCCAGCAGCCGCGGUAAUACGUAUGUCCCGAGCGUUAUCCGGAUUUAUUGGGCGUAAAGCGAGCGCAGACGGUUUAUUAAGUCUGAUGUGAAAUCCCGAGGCCCAACCUCGGAACUGCAUUGGAAACUGAUUUACUUGAGUGCGAUAGAGGCAAGUGGAACUCCAUGUGUAGCGGUGAAAUGCGUAGAUAUGUGGAAGAACACCAGUGGCGAAAGCGGCUUGCUAGAUCGUAACUGACGUUGAGGCUCGAAAGUAUGGGUAGCAAACGGGAUUAGAUACCCCGGUAGUCCAUACCGUAAACGAUGGGUGCUAGUUGUUAAGAGGUUUCCGCCUCCUAGUGACGUAGCAAACGCAUUAAGCACCCCGCCUGAGGAGUACGGCCGCAAGGCUAAAACUUAAAGGAAUUGACGGGGACCCGCACAAGCGGUGGAGCAUGUGGUUUAAUUCGAAGAUACGCGAAAAACCUUACCAGGUCUUGACAUACCAAUGAUCGCUUUUGUAAUGAAAGCUUUUCUUCGGAACAUUGGAUACAGGUGGUGCAUGGUCGUCGUCAGCUCGUGUCGUGAGAUGUUGGGUUAAGUCCCGCAACGAGCGCAACCCUUGUUAUUAGUUGCCAGCAUUUAGUUGGGCACUCUAAUGAGACUGCCGGUGAUAAACCGGAGGAAGGUGGGGAUGACGUCAAGUCCUCAUGGCCCUUAUGGGUAGGGCUUCACACGUCAUACAAUGGUCGGUACAGAGGGUUGCCAAGCCGCGAGGUGGAGCCAAUCCCAGAAAGCCGAUCGUAGUCCGGAUCGUAGUCUGCAACUUGACUACGUGAAGUCGGAAUCGCUAGUAAUCGCGGAUCAGAAUGCCGCGGUGAAUACGUUCCCGGGUCUUGCACAC